AGAGUUUGAUCCUGGCUCAGAGUGAACGUUGGUGGAUUAGGCAUGCAAGUCGAGCGAGAACCGUAGCAAUACGGGGACAGCGGCGAAAGGGACAGUAAUGUGUAGGUACCUACCCCCGGGUUCGGGAUAGCUGCGGGAAACUGCAGGUAAUACCGAAUAAUGUCUCCGGACCAAAGGUGUGAUUCCACCUGGGGAGGGGCCUGCAUCCUAUUAGCUUGUUGGUGGGGUAACGGCCUACCAAGGCGACGAUGGGUAGCGGGUGUGAGAGCAUGACCCGCGUCAUUGGGACUGAGACACUGCCCAGACACCUACGGGUGGCUGCAGUCGAGAAUCUUCGGCAAUGGGCGCAAGCCUGACCGAGCGACGCCGCGUGCGGGAUGAAGGCCUUCGGGUUGUAAACCGCUGUCGUAGAGGAGGAAAUGCAGGAGGGUUCUCCCUUCUGUUUGACCUAUUCUAGGAGGAAGUACGGGCUAAGUUCGUGCCAGCAGCCGCGGUAAGACGAACCGUACAAACGUUACUCGGAAUUACUGGGCUUAAAGGGUGCGUAGGCUGCGCGGAAAGUUGGGUGUGAAAGCCCUCGGCUCAACCGAGGAAUUGCACUCAAAACUACCGUGCUUGAGGGAGACAGAGGUAAGCGGAACUCAAGGUGGAGCGGUGAAAUGCGUUGAUAUCUUGAGGAACACCGGUGGCGAAAGCGGCUUACUGGGUCUUUUCUGACGCUGAGGCACGAAAGCUAAAGUAGCAAACGGGAUUAGAUACCCCGGUAGUCUUAGCUGUAAACGAUGAGCACUUGUUGGAGGGUCCUCCAUAGCCUUCCAGUCGUAGCGAAAGUGUUAAGUGCUCCGCCUGGGAGUAUGGUCGCAGGCUGAAACUCAAAGGAAUUGACGGGGGGCUCACACAGCGUGAGAUGUGCUAUCGAGCUACGCGAG
RNAcentral lists this ribosomal RNA (929 nucleotides) under uncultured bacterium. RNAcentral describes it as "bacterial SSU rRNA". It matches the Rfam family "Bacterial small subunit ribosomal RNA", at positions 8 to 965 of the family's 1533-position model. The record is from RNAcentral.